AAAGGGAGACCUAAUUCAGGUAGGAGACGAAAAAAAAGUAGUCCCAACCAAGAAUCAAUCCCAAAAGGUCGGAACGAGGUAUGAGGCUUUCAAACUAGGUUCUGGGUUCAUAAAAGACCUGAAUCAGGAACAAGGGCUAUUAGCUCAGGUGGUUAGAGCGCACCCCUGAUAAGGGUGAGGUCCCUGGUUCGAGUCCAGGAUGGCCCACCUGCACAGGUGGCAAAAACAAGAGAAGCGAGGAAUCAGCACCUUAUCUUAUAUACAUAUAUAAGAGAGAAUGCUGGCUCUGAGUACAGAGUCCAGAGGAACCUUGAAAACUGCAUAGAGCUAGGUGAAAAAGCCAAAAAAGAAGACCGCAAG
This 360-nucleotide transfer RNA is filed under the name uncultured Microcystis sp. Its description in RNAcentral is "partial 16S-23S ribosomal RNA intergenic spacer". The stretch from base 134 to 207 matches the Rfam family "tRNA". Lineage: Bacteria; Bacillati; Cyanobacteriota; Cyanophyceae; Chroococcales; Microcystaceae. The record is from RNAcentral.